UACGGAGGGUGCAAGCGUUAAUCGGAUUUACUGGGCGUAAGGGGUGCGUAGGCUGGGAUGUAAGUCAGACGUGAAAUUCCGAGGCUCAACCUCGGAGCGGCAUCUGAAACCACAUUUCUAGCGGAAUGGCGGAGAAAACGGAAUUCCACGUGUAGCGGUGAAAUGCGUAGAUAUGUGGAGGAACACCGGUGGCGAAGGCGAUUUUCUAGCUUAGACCUGACGCUGAGGCGCGAAAGUAAGGGGAGCAAACAGG
RNAcentral lists this ribosomal RNA (253 nucleotides) under uncultured bacterium. RNAcentral's name for it is "partial 16S ribosomal RNA". It matches the Rfam family "Bacterial small subunit ribosomal RNA", at positions 524 to 776 of the family's 1533-position model. The record is from RNAcentral.